Magnolia sinica is the source of this 398-nucleotide long non-coding RNA. RefSeq lists it as uncharacterized. The transcript is spliced from 2 exons. The record is from RefSeq and is a predicted model, not a curated record. Lineage: Eukaryota; Viridiplantae; Streptophyta; Magnoliopsida; Magnoliales; Magnoliaceae.
CUCUUAAGAACACCAAUUUCCAGCUCUCCCUAUCUCAGCCCCUCCAUCUCCCUGUUGCUCUCUAGUGCCCUUCUCUCUCUCUCUCUUGAAAAAACCCAUUUCCAACCCCAUCUCCCUGCUUCUCUCUCCAUAUCUCAGCCCCUCCAUCUCUCUCCUUUUCUCUCAAGUGGCAACGGCAACCCCCCUCUCCCUUCCAAUGUCUCUUUCCAACACAAGUGGCCAUGAAAGCAACGGACCACAAGCACACACGAUACCCUCAGGUAUGAAGAGAAAUUUCGAUUGGCCAUUUAUGUACUCCACCAUGAAACUAUCCUUCUCCAGUAUCUUUUUCCGAUUCUAUUGUUUUUUCAAUGUAUAAAUCAAUGUACAUACAAGGAAUUUUCAUCAAGGUAUUUUGA